Nycticebus coucang (slow loris) is the source of this 1130-nucleotide long non-coding RNA. RefSeq lists it as uncharacterized. The transcript has 3 exons. Lineage: Eukaryota; Metazoa; Chordata; Mammalia; Primates; Lorisidae. The record is from RefSeq and is a predicted model, not a curated record.
CCGGACGCCGGAAAUGAGUGAGACUUGCAGCUGCCACCACCGCCGUUAUAAAGCCCAAAAGCCGCCGCGCCGCCGGUGCCGCCCGAAUCGCCCGGCCUUUUUUCUCCUGCAGACUCGGCUCCGCCCGUCCAGGUGCAGGUUACCAAGUGCCGGGCGCCGAGCAGCGACGGGGACACAGGGCCCGAGAGUGCCAGGCAGAGUGUGAAGCCGAUACUGCCACGCUGGGGAGGCGCUGGUCUCAAGCUGUCGCCAGCUCACAGCAACCUCAAACUCUUGGACUUAAGCAAUCCUCUUGCCUCAGCCUCCCAGGUAGCUGGGACUACAGGUGCUUGCCACAGCACCUGGCUAUUUCUUGGUUGUAGUCAUUGUUGUUUGACAAGCCCAGGCUGGAUUCGAACCUGCCAGCUCCUGUGUAUGUGGCUGGUACCCUAGCCACUUGAGCUACAGACUCUCUCCUUUCCUGGCUUUGAUGAAGAAAGCUGCCACACUAGGAAGGCGCACAUGAUGAGGAACUGAGGGACAUCUCUAGACAAUUCCAGCCAACAUCCAGCAAGGAACUGAUGGCUUCAGUUCAACAAGCAUUGAAGAACUGAUGGCAUCAACAGCUACGUAAGUGAGCAUAGAAGUGUAUCUUUCCCACUUGAGACUUCAGAAGAGACCUCAGCCCCAGCUGACAACCUGCUUGCAGUCUUGUGAAAGACCCUGAUGCAGAAAACCCAGCUAGGCCUCACCUGGAUUCCUGACCCACAAAAACUGUGAGAUAAUAAAUAGACAUUUUUUAAGCCACUAAAUUUUGAGGUAUCCAUUACGAUAGAUGACUAAUAUACCCCUAAAUCACUGUAAUCUUAGUGUAAGAUGUAGCAUGGCUAGGGACAAAAAUCACCUCUCCCAAGGAAGAUGAUAGUGUGUCUUAUGAUAUCCCUGCAGAUACUAUCUUUGUGAUCAGAGACCAUCCCUUGUACUCUUAUACUGAAACAGUCUCACUGUUGUCUCCACAGCCCUUACUAGUAGCUGCCAGGAGGUAAGGGCUAAGUACAGGAAUGGCAGGUGUAAGAUGACCAGGAUGGGGUCAUGAGUAGGGAUGAUGGAGUCAUUAUUUUCCCUCUUCAUUUUUUUUUCUUACCCACUUC